ACUAAUUUGGCAGAUUAAUUGUAUCAAAUUUAGAAUUUGAUGAUAGGAUAUUCCUAGUUAGUA
This 63-nucleotide transfer RNA is filed under the name Argas walkerae. Its description in RNAcentral is "tRNA-Leu". The record is from RNAcentral. Lineage: Eukaryota; Metazoa; Arthropoda; Arachnida; Ixodida; Argasidae.